UAGCUGGUCCCCAGCCCCAGAUUCCGGGGCAGCGCUGGGGUGGGGUGGGAAGGACGCACAGAGCCCUGGCAACCACACCUGAGCAGAGGGGCAGGGGGACACCUGGACCGUGGGCAUCAGCUGGGGCUCCCCACAGGUCCUGACACACAGCCUGGCCCCGUGCCCAUCGCAAGAGGCCACGGUGGGGAUCGGGCACCCCAAAUCCAGUCGCAGCCUCAGCGCCGAGCAGUGGGGGCCCCUCCUGGGAACUAGGACCCAAGUCCAAAGAGAAGUCAGGCAGGGAGGGACCCGUGGGAGGGACCAAAGGGUCAGCGGGCCAGAGGGGUGCCCAGCUACGGCCAGACCGGAGUCCUGUCCCCCAAACCCCCCGCCAGCAACCGCAGGCCUUGAGAUGCAGAUGAGCAUCUGAGCACGUUCCUGCGCACUCGGGGUCCCCACCUCCAGGAAGACUCCUCUGCUUCCGGGUCUCCCCCGCCUUACUUCUCCAAUCUGGUUGAAGGGGAUAUUUCUUUUCUGGGAAAGUGUGACACAGCCGCCACCACCCUGCUCCUGACUCACUUCACGCACUUGGGGAAGAAGGCCCUUCCCGGCGGCUGACUCCGAGUUGGCUGAGACUGUCAAUCUCCUCUUGCAUAUUAAGUGAAAUGAAAACGGAACAGGUGAAGGACGGGCAGGCAGUGGGUAGGGAAGGCGUCACCACCUCCUACCACCCUCAGUCGCUGCCGCCUGCCUCAGAGCCAGGGUUAGGUUGGGUCAGGAGGGGCCUCUGGCAUCAAGACCCCACUCCCAGCCCCACGGGCUAAGCCUCUCAGCACAUGCACUGCCGGCCAGGAGGGAAGCAACCCUACGGUCGGGAAGACGCUCACGUGCCCAUUUCACAGACUGGAAAGCAGAGGCUCUAAGGAUACUCCCAGAGGCCCAUUUAGGGACUGGCCGGAGCAGCCCCCCCCCCCUUGCACAUCUCUCCCACUGCAGGGGUCCUGGGGGGUCCCAUGAGGCCUCCUUCAGAAAUCCCCAUCCAGGAUAACGUCCACGAUGAUGAGGCUGCACAGCCUCCGGGGGCUGGGGGCUCGGAACAUAAGAAGGCCGGGAGCCAAGCAGGAAGCUGGCGGGAAGCCGCAGCAGGCACCAGGUCCAGGACUGCACGGGUCUCCCUGGGGGCCCCCGCUCGCUUCGUCCAUCAGGCGGCCGCCUCGGCUGCAACGUGGAAUCUAAUUUCACGGUCUAAAGAACUGCUCUGCUUCCACGUCCACCUCCGGCGUGACGGGCUCUGGCGCUGCUGGUGGUGUCUACGUGUGAACCAGGCAUGAACCAGACGGAGUUUCACUCGUUACCCAGGCUGGAGUGCAAUGGCGUGAUCUCGGCUCAUCGCAACCUCCACCUCCUGGGUUCAGGCAAUUCUCCUGCCUCAGCCUCCUGAGUAGCUGGGAUUACAGGCAUGCGCCACCAUGCCCAGCUAAUUUUUUGUGUUUUCAGUAGAGAUGGGGUUUCACCAUGUUGACCAGGAUGGUCUCGAUCUCUUGACCUCGUGAUCCACCCGCCUCAGCCUCCCAAAGUGCUGGGAUUACAGGCUUGAGCCACUGCGCCCGGCUUAACUUCUAUUUUUAAAAAAGAAAAUAAACAGAGCGUGUCGUCAGAGUCUGGGACAGCGAGUGCACGAGGGCAACCUGCCUGCCCAUCAGUGGCUCUGUGCCCAGGGUGCCCACCUGUGCCUCAGUUUCUCUCUGGAACAUGGCAGGUCUGGGGAGGGAGUGCCGACGCUCACCACACCUCAUCCCCUCCAGACUCCGAGAGUGGUCGGUGCUGCAGCCCCCGUAGGAAAGCUGGAGUGUGGACAGGUACAUUUACACCCCAAGGAGCAGACGGCACCCAGGGGCCCUGUCAGCGGCGGAAUCACCCCUCCAUCUGUGGCUGAAGCUUGGCUCUGGCCCUGGCCAGUGUCCCCCUCCCAGCCCAGCCUACUCCUCCUCAGACCUGUACCCUAGAGCUUCCCUGCCAUGUACACCCCCAUCCCUGGUACCUCUGGGGGGGGCCUGCUUGGCCUGGCCUGUGCUCCCGACCCUGCAGGUCCCACCCUAGCCCUGUCCAGGACCUUGGCAGCUUCCAAAAGCAAAGGCUUCAUGAGGUAGAAAUGCCCCCGGGGAGCUGGGGUGUGGAGGGGCUCCCUCCUCAACAAAGGGACUCCUCCUGAGAAACCCCAUACUCCCUUCAUGGGCUCAAGCUGCCCGUCAGCCCCACCCCAAACCCUUUCAGAUGCUGAGGGCACCUCAACAGAGGCACUCCUGACUGAGACCCCCUGGGGGACAGCAGGGCCUAACCCCCUUCCAAGCAGGUCAGUGCCCUCAGCUGGUCCACGGCUCACAGCUCCAGUCCCUGGCCCCCACAAACAUCCUAGUGAUGUCCUCUCUCGGCCUCCACUUGCACACCUCUGGCGACAGAGGGCUCACCCCACAGAAAGAACCUCGUUCCAACACGAGACCCUCCUGGGACAGCCUGGGUCUUCCCUCUCCCCUCACCAGCCUUCCUGGUGAAGCAGCACAGGGGUCAGGGCUGCCUCAGAUGGUCCUGGUCAUCUACUCACAUUCAGGCAGACCCAGGGCCUGCAGCACGGCCUGGAUGGGACACAUUUGGAUCCCCAAGUCAUGUGGACACGUCCCCAGGACAAACGUGGCAUCGACAUCCACGUGGGGACGCCCACCCCAUGGCGACUCUGUGGCUACCCAUGUCCACAGGCAUGGCACAAGCCCCUGAUCAGAGCGACCACCCAGCUCGAGGGGCUCAUCUCGCCCGUGACAAGUCCGGAAAAGACGCCGUCAACACUUAAAGAAUGGGGCCGCUUGAAUCCUGCUCUGUUCGGAACUGCACAGGCGGGCACGGGUGCCUGGGAAGAAAUCAGGAAGGGCAAACGUCCUUUCCUGCUUUCCGCAUGUCCCCGUCUCCUGCAGUGGGUGUGCUUAUCUUUGUAAACAAAAAAAAAUAACCCAUGACCAAGUGUUUGUUUAAGAAACGAAGGGCAGCAGGGGCCUCCAGAACCCCUCGCCCUGACAGACACAGUCCUGUCCGCCCACCGCUCGGGCAAGGCCCCCCACUUCCGUCACACGAUCUCAACUCAGCUCUUGGCUAAUUAAACAGCAUCCGUGGGAGGGGAUGGUCUCAGAUAAGCUGGCUCAGCUCUAAUUGCAGAGGAGAGAAGCUGGCCGGGUACCCCGUCCCAGCAGCCCUUUGCAAUCAUUCCUCAGGAAGGCAUCUCCCAAACACCAGCCCCUCCCCAAAACCACCCGGAGGUGAGCCAAGUCCCCGACUCUGUGGCCUGGGCGGAUGCCAGGAAUCACCAAGAGACCUCUGGCCCACGAGGAGCCACAGCUGCAGCUCCUGGUCAGGACCACGGCCAGCACCCGGGGGAGGCUCUCUUCUUCCCCACUCCUGCCACGCCCCUUCCCCCCCAUCCCCAAGAGUGGCCCCAGUGCCCAGCCAGGUAGGAGGCCAGAGAUAGCACCUACCCCAGGCAGCAGGGAGGCGGCCACAUCUACCCCAGGGAACAGGGCAUCUGCCUCCACAUCAGCCACAUGAGCAGCAAGUGGCAAGAGUGGAGCCCAGAGCCUCCCUUCCCUGCACCCACCUUCUGUUUCCAGCCUGGACAGAUUUCCAUAAAAAUGUAACUUUUCAAUGACAGGAAAAGUGAGGGUUAAUUUCUCUGCACAUUUGGUCCAAGGAGAAGCACCCUUUGAGAUGAGAACAUUUUUACAGCAACCAGACGGCUUCUAGGAAUUCACCCUGCACACAUGUGGAGGUGUGCACAGAGCCCCAUGCAGCACCAUUUGCAGCGGCAAAAUCCCAGCACCUGCUUCAAGGUCCAUCAGUGCGAACUGGUCAGAGAAGUCGUGAGCAGGGCAGAGGAGGCAGAGACAUGGAGUGGCUCUACACCUGUGAGGAGGAGUGAGUGAACACACAGACACGCAGUGCUGCACUGAGGCACACAUGCAGAUAAUGGCUCCAGGAGAGGGUCCAUGGCGGACCUGGGGCACAGAACGGCUCCAGGAGAGGGUCUGUGGCGGGCCUCAAGCAGAGAAUGGCUCCAGGAGAGGGUCCGUGGUGGACCUCGAGCAGAGAACGGCUCCAGGAGAGGGUCCGUGGUGGACCUCGAGCAGAGAACGGCUCCAAGAGAGGGUCCGUGGUGGACCUCGAGCAGAGAACGGCUCCAGGAGAGGGUCCGUGGUGGACCUCGAGCAGAGAACGGCUCCAGGAGAGGGUCCGUGGUGGACCUCGAGCAGAGAACGGCUCCAGGAGAGGGUCCGUGGUGGACCUCGAGGAGAGAAUGGCUCCAGGAGAGGGUCCGUGGUGGACCUCGAGCAGAGAACGGCUCCAGGAGAGGGUCUGUGGCGGACCCGGGGCAGAGAACAGCUCCAGGAGAGGCGCCGUGCAGACAAGGCAGAGACGGGGCAGUGCAUAGGGAGCAAAUCACCCUGGCUGGAUGUCAUUUUAUACAGUCCAGGGUUCCCGUGGAUGUCUUUUCUGUGUGUGUGUGUGUGUGUGUGUGUGUGCGCGCGCGCGUGUCAUGUGAAUCUAACCUAUUCUGGAAGAACAGGUAAGAAGGGGGUCAUCUCCCAGCUGGCAGGAGGCUCUCGCUAGCCCAGGACUUCCCAGCUGCAAUGAGCUAUGCUCACAGCACGGCAUUCAGCCUCGGCCACAGAGUGAGGCGCCUGCUCUCAAAAUAAAUAAAUAACAGAAUUCAGACAUCAGGCCCUGCCCAGCCCCAUCUGGUCUACAAAGGGGACUCCAGGCCACCUCCUGCUCCAACUUGGGGCGACACUCUGCUGGAUGUCCUGACCACCCUCCCCCAGGGAAGCAACCCCAGCUGGCUGAGCGCUACUGCCCUUCCCCUGGCCUCAGCCUCCACGAUAGACAAACUUUAAAGUCCACGGACAUGCCCUCUGCACCCUGAGCCCCAGCUCAGAGCCAGAAACACAUUAACCAAGCACUCGCAGCCUCCCACCCACAGGCCCUCAGAGCAGGGACCCCAACCUUUCAUCCCUGCCCAAAGCUUCUCCCCACCUCCUCCCAGGACAGGGAGCCACCGAGAACCUGGCCUUCUGCUCCCACUCACCCUUCUCUUGUGUUUUCCAAGCCUAAACAGAAAAGCAAACUCGAAAGUUCUCGGGUCAAGGCUAAGGGCUCCGUGGGAAGGAACAGAACUAGAGAAGGCCUGAGGACGAGGCGGGGCAGGCAGAGGCAGCUACCGAGGAAGAUUCCAGAAGGAGGCUCCCUGCAGACCAGGCAGCCUGGAGCCCAGCCUGUCACGCCCUCUAGGAGCUGCCGCGCCACACUGAGAUGAUUCAGGGAGUGCUGAGCCAGUUCCCCACAGGACUGCUCUUCUGUGCAUCCACAGAAUUAUUCCCGCUAAUCCAAAAAAAUUAAAGACCUAAUUUUAUUCAAGCUGGGCAGGCAGUGGAGCCUAAUGACAGUUCCAGAGCAUGUCUGGAAAACAUCCUCAUCCCCAAGCAAGGCAGCCAUGUUCCAAACCACCCCUUCCCCUGCAAGAAGUCACCCACAUCCCCUGCCCAGGGCCAGCCGCUCUGCCAGCACUGGGAACUCCGGGCAGCUGGUGUCCCAAGAGAAGCCUUCUCGGAGGCCCCCCUCUCCACCCGAGCAGACGCCUCCUUGGAGGGAGGGGCCGCCAAGUACCCGAGGCCUCACCCACCCCAGCCCUCACAGGGCAUGGGGUCUGUGGUUCAGAAGGGAUGUGAAGCUCUGUGGAGAGCUCGAGUCGCCGUCCUCCACCACACACUGUCCUGGGGAUCCGUGAGCCACACCCCCGACAUAGGGCAGCCUGUACCCCAGGGUGAGGGCCCCUUUCAAGACCGAGGCCUCCACCGGGGCCGCCAAACCCCACUGAGAGCACAGCACAGGCCCACUGCCAACAGGAGCAAGCGCCUGCACUCUGAUGCCCACGCA
This is a non-coding RNA of Callithrix jacchus (white-tufted-ear marmoset), 5952 nucleotides long. The record is from RefSeq and is a predicted model, not a curated record. NCBI's taxonomy places the organism in Eukaryota, Metazoa, Chordata, Mammalia, Primates, Cebidae.